GAUUACGGUGGAGGCAUUGUGAACCCUGAGAAAGCUGCAG
This 40-nucleotide small RNA is filed under the name Arabidopsis thaliana (thale cress). RNAcentral's name for it is "ATSL025670". The record is from RNAcentral. Lineage: Eukaryota; Viridiplantae; Streptophyta; Magnoliopsida; Brassicales; Brassicaceae.